GAUGAACGCUAGCGGCAGGCUUAACACAUGCAAGUCGAGGGGUAUAGGGAGCUUGCUUCCUAGAGACCGGCGCACGGGUGCGUAACACGUAUGCAAUCUACCUUUCACAGAGGGAUAGCCCAGAGAAAUUUGGAUUAAUACCUCAUAGUAUAGCAGUUUCGCAUGAAACCACUAUUAAAGUCACAACGGUGAAAGAUGAGCAUGCGUCCCAUUAGCUAGUUGGUAAGGUAACGGCUUACCAAGGCUACGAUGGGUAGGGGUCCUGAGAGGGAGAUCCCCCCACACUGGUACUGAGACACGGACCAGACUCCUACGGGAGGCAGCAGUGAGGAAUAUUGGACAAUGGGCGCAAGCCUGAUCCAGCCAUGCCGCGUGCAGGAUGACGGUCCUAUGGAUUGUAAACUGCUUUUAUACAGGAAGAAACACUCCGACGUGUCGGAGCUUGACGGUACUGUAAGAAUAAGGAUCGGCUAACUCCGUGCCAG
RNAcentral lists this ribosomal RNA (485 nucleotides) under uncultured bacterium. RNAcentral describes it as "bacterial SSU rRNA". It matches the Rfam family "Bacterial small subunit ribosomal RNA", at positions 28 to 511 of the family's 1533-position model. The record is from RNAcentral.